RNAcentral lists this long non-coding RNA (1996 nucleotides) under Paramuricea clavata. The record is from RNAcentral. Lineage: Eukaryota; Metazoa; Cnidaria; Anthozoa; Malacalcyonacea; Plexauridae.
ACCAACCAACCAACCAACCAACCAACCAACCAACCAACCAACCAACCAACCAACCAACCAACCAACCAACCAACCAACCAACUAAGUUACUGACUAAUUACAAAGUGACCAACGGACCUUUUACCGUCCAACUACUUUAUUACCCAGCCUCAAUGACCAGCAUAUACUUACUAGGCAACUAUCAACGCUUUCUUUUUUGAAACGGACUUAUCUACCAACUGCAUACAAACUAACGUAAUAACUUACUUAUCAACUUAGUUAUUCAUCAACUAGAAUUAAUGACUGUAACCAACUGACGAGCUGGUCGACCAACAGGGUACGAACGAACUGACUUUAUUACCAACAGACUUCUUAAUUAAGCAACUAACUAUAACGAAUACUAACUUUCUACGAACGAGUCGCACUGGCGCUUAGGCGCAAUUCAGGAACAAUGUUUAUGUGUUUUUUUCCGUCAUUUUAAAACACAUUGGCUGCAUACUUUUCAUGUACUUAACAUAUCUUCGUUAAUAUUUCAAACGUCUAAGAUAAAUUUAUUAUAAAUACUGUGUAGAUUUAGAAGUUUACUAUUGUAAAAGUGAUUUAUAAUUUGAUAGAAUUAAUAAUGUAAGAAAAAGUUUCGUAUCCAGCAAAAAAUUGUCGGUUUAUUAUAUAUUGGUGGAUUUCAUGCAGGUAAGCGUUAUCAGACGGCUGAUCACUUGGUCAACUUCAGAAAUCGGUUGACAUUAUAGGAGCGAAACAGUUAAACUAUAUCUCCCAAUCCUAUUUAUUUAACAUCAAAUACAAGGUUACUAAAGGUGGAGUAAUACGGGCAACAAAAUUGCUGCAACUUGCAACAAAAUCUGAUUUCAACGCAUGUUACAGUAAGUAGAAGUGUCGACACAUGUUGCCUCGUGAUUUGUCAGGUUGAUGCAAUACUGAUGAAAACAGGAUUGAACAAUGUUUUGCUGCCCACAUUGUUCAUAGCUGUCAACAAUAUUGAACAAUAUUGUUACACCCGAUUCAGGCUCAAAAACAUUGUUCAAUAUUGUUGACAGCUAUGAACAACGUGGGCAGCAAAACAUUGUUCAGUCCUGUUGAGCAACGGGCUCGGCGUUUUUUGCCGUGUAGUUUAUGUGUUUUUAAAAAUUUUCAAUUAACAUGCGUAGAGAUCAGAUUUUGUUGCAAGUUGCAGCAACUCCAUGCAGCUUAAAAGCUAGAAUUAUCAUUAUUUUCUCAAUCUGAUAACCAUCGGUUGACUAUCAUCUGCAUUAGUGUAUUUGGCAACCGAGAACGGCAACCGGCAACGACAGGAAACAACAUUACUUCCAUUUCUGUAUUUGAGCCAAAGCACACAUUAUUAAAAACUUUAUUUGUAUACCAACAGUAUAGUUUCGAGUGCGUUUUGGAAAAAACAUGCACGAGUGAGUUUUUUCAAAGACUAUCAAAAUUGCACGAGUCCGAAGGACGAGUGCAAUUUGAAGUCUUUGAAAAACUCCUGCACGAGUGCCUGAUGUUGUUUUUUUUAAACUGCACUAGAAACCGUACAGUACUUAUUAAUAUACAUGAAAAAAUUAUGCAGUCGCGUGCGCAAAUCACAUUUAGAAAUUAAGAAAUGAAGAAAAUUAAGAAAUUUGAAAAAUAAAUAAUAAGAAAAUUUAGAAAAUUAAGAAAUUCGCAUUUUAUUUCAUUUUUUGGCACUGUAUUUCGAAAAAAUUGCACUGCUCUUGCUCUUAGCCAAUCAGAAUUGAGAAAUUUUUCAUGUAUACUAUUAGCCACUUAAGGUGGCUCCCUACAGUUAGUACAGUUUAAUUACGAUUUAUAUAGAUCAGACUUCAUCCUCGCGACCUGCGCGUGGAAUCGUCGUGUUUACUGUUCGGCAAAAAUAUUGAAACAAGCCGUGGGAAGUUUUUUGGCGUUUUUAUCUACAAAGAAAGCCCCAGUUUUUCAUUAUAAUCCUAAUUUUUUCUGAAUUCGAACAGUACGUAUGUUAUUAACUAGUUUAACCUAUCUUUUAGUG